RNAcentral lists this non-coding RNA (109 nucleotides) under Salmonella enterica subsp. enterica serovar Kentucky. Its description in RNAcentral is "antisense sRNA RprA". It matches the Rfam family "RprA RNA". From Rfam's summary of the family: Translational regulation of the stationary phase sigma factor RpoS is mediated by the formation of a double-stranded RNA stem-loop structure in the upstream region of the rpoS messenger RNA, occluding the translation initiation site. Clones carrying rprA (RpoS regulator RNA A) increased the translation of RpoS. Lineage: Bacteria; Pseudomonadati; Pseudomonadota; Gammaproteobacteria; Enterobacterales; Enterobacteriaceae. The record is from RNAcentral.
GCUAUUCGUCAUUAUCUUAAUUGAUUUAUAAGCAUGGAAAUCCCCUGAGUGAAACAACGAAUUGCUGUGUGUAGUCUUUGCCCGUCUCCUACGAUGGGCUUUUUUUUAA